This 684-nucleotide ribosomal RNA is filed under the name Pediococcus pentosaceus. Its description in RNAcentral is "bacterial SSU rRNA". It matches the Rfam family "Bacterial small subunit ribosomal RNA", at positions 78 to 750 of the family's 1533-position model. The record is from RNAcentral. Lineage: Bacteria; Bacillati; Bacillota; Bacilli; Lactobacillales; Lactobacillaceae.
UUUUAACACGAAGUGAGUGGCGAACGGGUGAGUAACACGUGGGUAACCUGCCCAGAAGUAGGGGAUAACACCUGGAAACAGAUGCUAAUACCGUAUAACAGAGAAAACCGCAUGGUUUUCUUUUAAAAGAUGGCUCUGCUAUCACUUCUGGAUGGACCCGCGGCGUAUUAGCUAGUUGGUGAGGUAAAGGCUCACCAAGGCAGUGAUACGUAGCCGACCUGAGAGGGUAAUCGGCCACAUUGGGACUGAGACACGGCCCAGACUCCUACGGGAGGCAGCAGUAGGGAAUCUUCCACAAUGGACGCAAGUCUGAUGGAGCAACGCCGCGUGAGUGAAGAAGGGUUUCGGCUCGUAAAGCUCUGUUGUUAAAGAAGAACGUGGGUAAGAGUAACUGUUUACCCAGUGACGGUAUUUAACCAGAAAGCCACGGCUAACUACGUGCCAGCAGCCGCGGUAAUACGUAGGUGGCAAGCGUUAUCCGGAUUUAUUGGGCGUAAAGCGAGCGCAGGCGGUCUUUUAAGUCUAAUGUGAAAGCCUUCGGCUCAACCGAAGAAGUGCAUUGGAAACUGGGAGACUUGAGUGCAGAAGAGGACAGUGGAACUCCAUGUGUAGCGGUGAAAUGCGUAGAUAUAUGGAAGAACACCAGUGGCGAAGGCGGCUGUCUGGUCUGCAACUGACGCUGAG